AAAAGGUCAAGCGAACAAGAGCGCAGGGUGGAUGCCUUGGCACUAAGAGCCGAAGAAAGACGUGAUAAGCUGCGAUAAGCUACGGUGAGGAGCAAAUAUCCAUUGACCCGUAGAUUUCUGAAUGGGGAAACCCGGCAGGAGAAACUCCUGUCACUGUAUGGUGAAUACAUAGCCAUAUAGAGGGAACCCGGUGAACUGAAACAUCUAAGUAGCCGGAGGAAGAGAAAACAACAGUGAUUUCCUAAGUAGCGGCGAGCGAACGGGAAAGAGCCCAAACCGGAUUGCGUGCAAUCCGGGGUUCGGACUGCAUACGUCAUUGUAAGAGGAUAACAGAAUGGUUUUGGGAAAGCCAGCCAGAGAGGGUGAAAGCCCCGUACGUGAAAUCUGAUUACAGGCAGCAGGAUCCAGAGUACCACGAGACACGUGGAACCUUGUGGGAACAAGCGGGGACCACCCCGUAAGGCUAAAUACUCCUUAGUGACCGAUAGCGCAUAGUACUGUGAAGGAAAGGUGAAAAGAACCCCGGGAGGGGAGUGAAAGAGAACCUGAAACCCUGUGUUUACAAGCUGUGGAACCACCAUAUGAGUGGAACCGCGUACUUUUUGUAGAACGGUCCGGCGAGUUAUGGUUGCUGGCAAGGUUAAGGACGAAAAGUCCGGAGCCGAAGGGAAACCGAGUCUUAAUAGGGCGCCAAGUCAGCAGACAUAGACCCGAAACCGGGUGACCUACCCAUGUCCAGGUUGAAGCCGCUGUAAAAGGCGGUGGAGGACCGAACGCACAUCUGUUGAAAAAGGUGGCGAUGAGGUGUGGGUAGCGGAGAAAUUCCAAUCGAACUCGGAGAUAGCUGGUUCUCCCCGAAAUAGCUUUAGGGCUAGCCUUGAGUUAGACAUAUGGAGGUAGAGCACUGAAUGGCCGCGGGGGCGUCAAAGCUUACCAAAGCCUAUCAAACUCCGAAUGCCAUGUUGCCGAUGCUCAGGAGUCAGACUGCACGAGAUAAGUUGGGUAGUCGAGAGGGAAACAGCCCAGACCUACAGCUAAGGUCCCAAAGUACAUGUUAAGUGGAAAAGGAUGUGGGACUUCGAAGACAACUAGGAUGUUGGCUCAGAAGCAGCCAUACAUUCAAAGAGUGCGUAAUAGCUCACUAGUCGAGAGGUCCUGCGCCGAAAAUGUCCGGGGCUAAAACAUGACACCGAAGCUUAGGAACAGAAAUGUUGGUAGGGGAGCAUUGCUAAAGGAACGAAGCAGUACCGAAAGGAGCUGUGGACUUUUAGGAAGAGAGAAUGCCGGAAUGAGUAGCGAGAGUAAGGUGAGAAUCCUUACGGCCGAAUAUCUAAGGUUUCCAGAGUAAAGCUGAUCUGCUCUGGGUAAGUCGGGACCUAAGGCGAGGACGAAAGUCGUAGUCGAUGGAUAACAGGUGGAGAUUCCUGUACUCCGUAUAAACAGAACUGUGGGGACACGGGUGGAAAGCCUGACCCGGGAAUGGAAAGACCGGGACAAGCGAGGUACCUGAUAAGGAGGCAAAUCCCCUUAUCAAUGGGAAGACGUGAUGUGGAGCGAACCAAAGGGUAGCGAAGCAGGUGAGCCAGCCGUCGAGAAAAGCCGCUAUUGUUUUGUACGGACCCGUACCGUAAACCGACACAGGUGGAUGAGGAGAGAAUCCUAAGGCCGACGGGAGAAGCAUUGUUAAGGAACUCGGCAAAAUGACCCCGUAACUUCGGGAGAAGGGGUGCCUGAGGAAUCAGGCCGCAGAGAAUAGGUCCAAGCAACUGUUUAGCAAAAACACAGGUCUAUGCGAAACCGAAAGGUGAAGUAUAUGGGCUGACGCCUGCCCGGUGCUGGAAGGUUACGAGGAGUGCUUAGAGGCUUGCCUCGAAGGUGCGAAUUUAAGCCCCAGUAAACGGCGGCCGUAACUAUAACGGUCCUAAGGUAGCGAAAUUCCUUGUCGGGUAAGUUCCGACCCGCACGAAAGGCGUAAUGAUUUGGACGCUGUCUCGACAAUGCACCCGGUGAAAUUGAAAUACCAGUGAAGAUGCUGGUUACCCGCGCCAGGACGGAAAGACCCCAUGGAGCUUUACUCUAGUUUGAUACUGGGAUUCGGUACUGCAUGUACAGGAUAGGUGGGAGACUGUGAAUCUGUGACGCCAGUUGCAGAGGAGUCAAUGUUGGGAUACCACCCUUGUAGUAUUGGAUUUCUAACCAUCAGCCGUGAACCGGCUGGGGGACAAUGUCAGGCGGGGAGUUUGACUGGGGCGGUCGCCUCCGAAAGGGUAUCGGAGGCGCUCAAAGGUUCCCUCAGAAUGGUCGGAAACCAUUCGAAGAGUGCAAAGGCAGAAGGGAGCUUGACUGCGACACCGACGGGUGGAGCAGGUAGGAAACUAGGACUUAGUGAUCCGGUGGUAUGAAAGUGGGAUUGCCAUCGCUCAACGGAUAAAAGCUACCCUGGGGAUAACAGGCUUAUCACUCCCAAGAGUUCACAUCGACGGAGUGGUUUGGCACCUCGAUGUCGGCUCAUCGCAUCCUGGGGCUGUAGUAGGUCCCAAGGGUUGGGCUGUUCGCCCAUUAAAGCGGUACGCGAGCUGGGUUCAGAACGUCGUGAGACAGUUCGGUCCCUAUCCGGCGCGGGCGUAGGAUAUUUGAGAGGAGCUGCCCUUAGUACGAGAGGACCGGGGUGGACUGGCCUCUGGUGUACCGGUUGUAUUACCAAAUGCAUAGCCGGGUAGCCAAGCCGGGACGGGAUAAACGCUGAAGGCAUCUAAGCGUGAAGCCCCCCUCAAGAUAAGAUAUCCCUGACAAUAAGUCAAUAAGACCCCUUGAAGACGACGAGGUAGAUAGGUCCGAGGUGGAAGUGCAGUAAUGUAUGGAGCUGACGGAUACUAAUAGGUCGAAGGCUUGACCUUG
This 2898-nucleotide ribosomal RNA is filed under the name Clostridium sp. AF36-4. RNAcentral's name for it is "bacterial LSU rRNA". It matches the Rfam family "Bacterial large subunit ribosomal RNA". Lineage: Bacteria; Bacillati; Bacillota; Clostridia; Eubacteriales; Clostridiaceae. The record is from RNAcentral.